AUUGAACGCUGGCGGCAGGCUUAACACAUGCAAGUCGAGCGAGCGGCGGACGGGUGAGUAAUGUCUGGGAAACUGCCUGAUGGAGGGGGAUAACUACUGGAAACGGUAGCUAAUACCGCAUACCAUCAGAGGUGCCCAGCUGGGAUUAGCUAGUAGGGGGGGUAAUGGCUCACCUAGGCGACGACCCCUAGCUGGUGUGAGAGGAUGACCAGCCACACGGGAACUGAGACACGGUCCAGACUCCUACGGGAGGCAGCAGUGGGGAAUAUUGCACAAUGGGCGCAAGCCUGAUGCAGCCAUGCCGCGUGUGUGAAGAAGGCCUUCGGGUUGUAAAGUACUUUCAGUCGGGAGGCGUUACCGACAGAAGAAGCACCGGCGAACUCCGUGCCAGCCGCCGCGGUAAUUC
This 406-nucleotide ribosomal RNA is filed under the name uncultured bacterium. RNAcentral describes it as "partial 16S ribosomal RNA". It matches the Rfam family "Bacterial small subunit ribosomal RNA", at positions 30 to 526 of the family's 1533-position model. The record is from RNAcentral.